AUUGAACGCUGGCGGCAGGCCUAACACAUGCAAGUCGAACGGUAGCACAGAGAGCUUGCUCUCGGGUGACGAGUGGCGGACGGGUGAGUAACGUCUGGGAAACUGCCCGAUGGAGGGGGAUAACUACUGGAAACGGUAGCUAAUACCGCAUAACGUCGCAAGACCAAAGUGGGGGACCUUCGGGCCUCACACCAUCGGAUGUGCCCAGAUGGGAUUAGCUAGUAGGUGGGGUAAUGGCUCACCUAGGCGACGAUCCCUAGCUGGUCUGAGAGGAUGACCGGCCACACUGGAACUGGGACACGAUCCAGACUCCUACGGGAGGCAGCAGUGGGGAAUAUUGCACAAUGGGCGCAAGCCUGAUGCAGCCAUGCCGCGUGUAUGAAGAAGGCCUUCGGGUUGUAAAGUACUUUCAGCGGGGAGGAAGGCGGUGAAGUUAAUAGCUUCACCGAUUGACGUUACCCGCAGAAGAAGCACCGGCUAACUCCGUGCCAGCAGCCGCCGCGG
RNAcentral lists this ribosomal RNA (504 nucleotides) under uncultured bacterium. RNAcentral describes it as "partial 16S ribosomal RNA". It matches the Rfam family "Bacterial small subunit ribosomal RNA", at positions 29 to 523 of the family's 1533-position model. The record is from RNAcentral.